GAGAGGUGUGGGGACUUCAUGCAAACGCUGUCUGGAGGAGUUUGGAAAUAAUACUUGUUGUUCAAAUGUUACCAACCUGACAAGCAUUGAUGGAGCAAGUCCAAUAAAGGUAUCCGUGGCAGGAAGCGAGAGGCAGCCCAGAAACAGCUCAGAAGAAACCCUGAUGUUGAAAAUGAGCAACCUAUAUGGAAUAGGAUGCAACAGCGGUAAAAAUAAAUAAAACUGAUGACACACUUUCAAAGAGAGCAGGGGCAGUUGACCGGCCUUCUUGAUGCUGUUGGAAUACAACCCUCCCCAUCUGAGAAUACUGGCUGGGCAGGGGGCUCAGGCUGAUGAGAACUGGAGUCCUACAACAUCUGGAGGGCCACAUGUUCCAGAGCAGUGAAUCAAGAAGAGGAAUUAUCCUUUCUCACAUGGGAAUGCCUCUCCUAAAUAGAAGCAGUCUUCCAUCUCUUUCAUUCAUCCAACUCUUGAGAAGGCCCAGGCUUUUGGAAAUGAAUCGUGCAAAAGCUUCUCUGUUCAAAAGCAAUCCACAGGUUUCCUGCAUCUGUAUCCUGGGGACACCAAGUGAAUGAUAAUAAUUUGCAAUAACUGGUAUUCCGAGGCAUCUUACCUCUGGCAGGGGAAGCAGGAUGCUACAAAGCCUUCCAAAACCAAGUCCAGGGCUGGCAAAUUUGAAAAUUGCUUUAUAUUAGGGAAGCAGCACCCAUCAGGUCAUAUGCUGACUUGCUGUAGAAGGAUUCAAACAAGGUAAGUGUGCAUAAGUCCUCUCCCCUGCUCUCUAAACA
Non-coding RNA from Podarcis muralis (Common wall lizard), 788 nucleotides. The record is from RefSeq and is a predicted model, not a curated record. NCBI's taxonomy places the organism in Eukaryota, Metazoa, Chordata, Lepidosauria, Squamata, Lacertidae.